UAUACUGCAAGUCGAGCGCGGAACCGUCUGACCCUUCGGGGGGACGACGGUGGAAUGAGCGGCGGACGGGUGAGUAACACGUAAAGAACCUGCCCAUAGGUCUGGGAUAACCACGAGAAAUCGGGGCUAAUACCGGAUGUGUCAUCGGACCGCAUGGUCCGCUGAUGAAAGGCGCUCCGGCGUCGCCCAUGGAUGGCUUUGCGGUGCAUUAGCUAGUUGGUGGGGUAACGGCCCACCAAGGCGACGAUGCAUAGCCGACCUGAGAGGGUGAUCGGCCACACUGGGACUGAGACACGGCCCAGACUCCUACGGGAGGCAGCAGUAGGGAAUCUUCCACAAUGGACGAAAGUCUGAUGGAGCAACGCCGCGUGAACGAUGAAGGCUUUCGGGUCGUAAAGUUCUGUUGUAAGGGAAGAACAAGUGCCGCAGGCAAUGGCGGCACCUUGACGGUACCUUGCGAGAAAGCCACGGCUAACUACGUGCCAGCAGCCGCGGUAAUACGUAGGUGGCAAGCGUUGUCCGGAAUUAUUGGGCGUAAAGCGCGCGCAGGCGGCCUCUUAAGUCUGAUGUGAAAGCCCCCGGCUCAACCGGGGAGGGCCAUUGGAAA
This 607-nucleotide ribosomal RNA is filed under the name Exiguobacterium sp. CH59b_2C. RNAcentral describes it as "bacterial SSU rRNA". It matches the Rfam family "Bacterial small subunit ribosomal RNA", at positions 50 to 632 of the family's 1533-position model. Lineage: Bacteria; Bacillati; Bacillota; Bacilli; Caryophanales. The record is from RNAcentral.